UCGGGAGCAAGCGUGAGUGAGUUUACCCGUUGAAUAAGCNCCGGCUAACUACGUGCCAGCAGCCGCGGUAAUACGUAGGGUGCAAGCGUUAUCCGGAAUUAUUGGGCGUAAAGGGCUCGUAGGCGGUUCGUCGCGUCCGGUGUGAAAGUCCAUCGCUUAACGGUGGAUCCGCGCCGGGUACGGGCGGGCUUGAGUGCGGUAGGGGAGACUGGAAUUCCCGGUGUAACGGUGGAAUGUGUAGAUAUCGGGAAGAACACCAAUGGCGAAGGCAGGUCUCUGGGCCGUUACUGACGCUGAGGAGCGAAAGCGUGGGGAGCGAACAGGAUUAGAUACCCUGGUAGUCCACGCCGUAAACGGUGGAUGCUGGAUGUGGGGCCCGUUCCACGGGUUCCGUGUCGGAGCUAACGCGUUAAGCAUCCCGCCUGGGGAGUACGGCCGCAAGGCUAAAACUCAAAGAAAUUGACGGGGGCCCGCACAAGCGGCGGAGCAUGCGGAUUAAUUCGAUGCAACGCGAAGAACCUUACCUGGGCUUGACAUGUUCCCGACGAUCCCAGAGAUGGGGUUUCCCUUCGGGGCGGGUUCACAGGUGGUGCAUGGUCGUCGUCAGCUCGUGUCGUGAGAUGUUGGGUUAAGUCCCGCAACGAGCGCAACCCUCGCCCCGUGUUGCCAGCGGAUUAUGCCGGGAACUCACGGGGGACCGCCGGGGUUAACUCGGAGGAAGGUGGGGAUGACGUCAGAUCAUCAUGCCCCUUACGUCCAGGGCUUCACGCAUGCUACAAUGGCCGGUACAACGGGAUGCGACGCGGCGACGCGGAGCGGAUCCCUGAAAACCGGUCUCAGUUCGGAUCGCAGUCUGCAACUCGACUGCGUGAAGGCGGAGUCGCUAGUAAUCGCGAAUCAGCAACGUCGCGGUGAAUGCGUUCCCGGGCCUUGUACACACCGCCCGUCAAGUCAUGAAAGUGGGCAGCACCCGAAGCCGGUGGCCUAACCCCUUGUGGGA
Molecule: ribosomal RNA, 1000 nt
Filed under: Bifidobacterium longum subsp. infantis
Lineage: Bacteria; Bacillati; Actinomycetota; Actinomycetes; Bifidobacteriales; Bifidobacteriaceae
Description: bacterial SSU rRNA
Rfam family: Bacterial small subunit ribosomal RNA
Source: RNAcentral